This 253-nucleotide ribosomal RNA is filed under the name uncultured bacterium. Its description in RNAcentral is "partial 16S ribosomal RNA". It matches the Rfam family "Bacterial small subunit ribosomal RNA", at positions 524 to 776 of the family's 1533-position model. The record is from RNAcentral.
UACGAAGGGGGCGAGCGUUGUUCGGAAUUACUGGGCGUAAAGGGCGCGUAGGCGGCCGGUCACGUCAGAUGUGAAAGUCCUGGGCUUAACCUGGGGACUGCAUUUGAUACUGAUUGGCUUGAGUUCGGGAGAGGAUAGCGGAAUUCUCAGUGUAGAGGUGAAAUUCGUAGAUAUUGGGAAGAACACCGGUGGCGAAGGCGGCUAUCUGGACCGACACUGACGCUGAGGCGCGAAAGCGUGGGGAGCAAACAGG